CGGUGUUUAACUGGCGUGAUGUGGGACGUCCUACCGGUGGGCUUAGCCUCGCGAGGGGCGGCCCAACUAAUAUCCCGUCGCGGUGCUCUUUACUGAGUGUCGAGUCGGGCCGGUACGUUUACUUUGAACAAAUUAGAGUGCUUAAAGCAGGCUAUCCUCGCCUGAAUACUGCGUGCAUGGAAUAAUGGAAUAGGACCUCGGUUCUAUUUUGUUGGUUUUCGGAACCCCGAGGUAAUGAUUAAUAGGGACAGAUGGGGGCAUUCGUAUUGCGACGUUAGAGGUGAAAUUCUUGGAUCGUCGCAAGACGGACAGAAGCGAAAGCAUUUGCCAAAAAUGUUUUCAUUAAUCAAGAACGAAAGUUAGAGGUUCGAAGGCGAUCAGAUGCCGCCCUAGUUCUAACCAUAAACGAUGCCAGCUAGCGAUCCGCCGAAGUUCCUCCGAUGACUCGGCGGGCAGCUUCCGGGAAACCAAAGCUUUUGGGUUCCGGGGGAAGUAUGGUUGCAAAGCUGAAACUUAAAGGAAUUGACGGAAGGGCACCACCAGGAGUGGAGCCUGCGGCUUAAUUUGACUCAACACGGGAAACCUCACCAGGCCCAGACACCGGAAGGAUUGACAGAUUGAUAGCUCUUUCUUGAUUCGGUGGGUGGUGGUGCAUGGCCGUUCUUAGUUGGUGGAGCGAUUUGUCUGGUUAAUUCCGAUAACGAACGAGACUCUAGCCUGCUAAAUAGGCGUACCUUAUGGUAUCGCGAAGGCCCCCGGCUUCGGCCGGUGGGUUUUUACUACCAACGUACAAACAAAUCUUCUUAGAGGGACAGGCGG
Molecule: ribosomal RNA, 819 nt
Filed under: uncultured eukaryote
Lineage: Eukaryota
Description: SSU rRNA
Rfam family: Eukaryotic small subunit ribosomal RNA
Source: RNAcentral